Molecule: ribosomal RNA, 610 nt
Filed under: Escherichia coli
Lineage: Bacteria; Pseudomonadati; Pseudomonadota; Gammaproteobacteria; Enterobacterales; Enterobacteriaceae
Description: partial 23S ribosomal RNA
Rfam family: Bacterial large subunit ribosomal RNA
Source: RNAcentral
GGGUUGUGAGGUUAAGCGACUAAGCGUACACGGUGGAUGCCCUGGCAGUCAGAGGCGAUGAAGGACGUGCUAAUCUGCGAUAAGCGUCGGUAAGGUGAUAUGAACCGUUAUAACCGGCGAUUUCCGAAUGGGGAAACCCAGUGUGUUUCGACACACUAUCAUUAACUGAAUCCAUAGGUUAAUGAGGCGAACCGGGGGAACUGAAACAUCUAAGUACCCCGAGGAAAAGAAAUCAACCGAGAUUCCCCCAGUAGCGGCGAGCGAACGGGGAGCAGCCCAGAGCCUGAAUCAGUGUGUGUGUUAGUGGAAGCGUCUGGAAAGGCGCGCGAUACAGGGUGACAGCCCCGUACACAAAAAUGCACAUGCUGUGAGCUCGAUGAGUAGGGCGGGACACGUGGUAUCCUGUCUGAAUAUGGGGGGACCAUCCUCCAAGGCUAAAUACUCCUGACUGACCGAUAGUGAACCAGUACCGUGAGGGAAAGGCGAAAAGAACCCCGGCGAGGGGAGUGAAAAAGAACCUGAAACCGUGUACGUACAAGCAGUGGGAGCCUCUUUUAUGGGGUGACUGCGUACCUUUUGUAUAAUGGGUCAGCGACUUAUAUUCUGUAGC